Molecule: ribosomal RNA, 119 nt
Filed under: Arabis alpina (gray rockcress)
Lineage: Eukaryota; Viridiplantae; Streptophyta; Magnoliopsida; Brassicales; Brassicaceae
Source: RNAcentral
GGGUGCGAUCAUACCAGCACUAAUGCACCGGAUCCCAUCAGAACUCCGAAGUUAAGCGUGCUUGGGCGAGAGUAGUAUUAGGAUGGGUGACCUCUUGGGAAGUCCUCGUGUUGCACCCC